UGUGGUUAGCUUGGCGUGC
RNAcentral lists this unclassified non-coding RNA (19 nucleotides) under Chlamydomonas reinhardtii. RNAcentral describes it as "small RNA Cre_3620". Lineage: Eukaryota; Viridiplantae; Chlorophyta; Chlorophyceae; Chlamydomonadales; Chlamydomonadaceae. The record is from RNAcentral.